Molecule: long non-coding RNA, 257 nt
Organism: Onychostruthus taczanowskii (white-rumped snowfinch)
Lineage: Eukaryota; Metazoa; Chordata; Aves; Passeriformes; Passeridae
Exons: 3
Source: RefSeq, a predicted model, not a curated record
CAGGAUGAUGCCACAGACUUUGCACAGCAGCUCGUCGUAGGUCCAGUUGUCGUGCUGUAAAGCAUACUGAAGCCAAAAAGGCAAAGAAAAUAUGUACAGCAGGUCUGCUAUUGUCAAAUUGCAAAGAGGGAACGUCAUGCCUGGUUUUGGUAGAAAUAUCCUUGGGAGCUCAGAAACUUUCAGUCAUGAAACAACAGGCCAAGGUUUUUAUGACUUUGGACUUCUUUGUUUAUGCCUGCACUUAUAAAGGACAACUU